GGGGUUGUAGCUCAGUGGUAGAGUGCUUGCCUAGUAUGUGUGAGACACUGGGCUCAAUCCCCAGCACCACA
RNAcentral lists this transfer RNA (71 nucleotides) under Marmota monax (woodchuck). RNAcentral describes it as "tRNA.Thr". It matches the Rfam family "tRNA". Rfam says of the family: Transfer RNA (tRNA) molecules are approximately 80 nucleotides in length. Their secondary structure includes four short double-helical elements and three loops (D, anti-codon, and T loops). Lineage: Eukaryota; Metazoa; Chordata; Mammalia; Rodentia; Sciuridae. The record is from RNAcentral.